This 245-nucleotide ribosomal RNA is filed under the name uncultured Butyrivibrio sp. RNAcentral's name for it is "partial 16S ribosomal RNA". It matches the Rfam family "Bacterial small subunit ribosomal RNA", at positions 524 to 768 of the family's 1533-position model. The record is from RNAcentral. Lineage: Bacteria; Bacillati; Bacillota; Clostridia; Lachnospirales; Lachnospiraceae.
UACGUAGGGGGCAAGCGUUAUCCGGAUUUACUGGGUGUAAAGGGGGCGCAGACGGCGAUGCAAGUCUGAAGUGAAAUCCCACGGCUCAACUGUGGAAUUGCUUUGGAAACUGUAUUGCUUGAGUGCUGGAGAGGUAAGCGGAAUUCCUGGUGUAGCGGUGAAAUGCGUAGAUAUCAGGAAGAACAUCAGUGGCGAAGGCGGCUUACUGGACAGCAACUGACGUUGAGGCCCGAAAGCGUGGGGAG